This 2071-nucleotide ribosomal RNA is filed under the name Escherichia coli. RNAcentral's name for it is "partial 23S ribosomal RNA". It matches the Rfam family "Bacterial large subunit ribosomal RNA", at positions 584 to 2640 of the family's 2925-position model. Lineage: Bacteria; Pseudomonadati; Pseudomonadota; Gammaproteobacteria; Enterobacterales; Enterobacteriaceae. The record is from RNAcentral.
CUUAGGCGUGUGACUGCGUACCUUUUGUAUAAUGGGUCAGCGACUUAUAUUCUGUAGCAAGGUUAACCGAAUAGGGGAGCCGAAGGGAAACCGAGUCUUAACUGGGCGUUAAGUUGCAGGGUAUAGACCCGAAACCCGGUGAUCUAGCCAUGGGCAGGUUGAAGGUUGGGUAACACUAACUGGAGGACCGAACCGACUAAUGUUGAAAAAUUAGCGGAUGACUUGUGGCUGGGGGUGAAAGGCCAAUCAAACCGGGAGAUAGCUGGUUCUCCCCGAAAGCUAUUUAGGUAGCGCCUCGUGAAUUCAUCUCCGGGGGUAGAGCACUGUUUCGGCAAGGGGGUCAUCCCGACUUACCAACCCGAUGCAAACUGCGAAUACCGGAGAAUGUUAUCACGGGAGACACACGGCGGGUGCUAACGUCCGUCGUGAAGAGGGAAACAACCCAGACCGCCAGCUAAGGUCCCAAAGUCAUGGUUAAGUGGGAAACGAUGUGGGAAGGCCCAGACAGCCAGGAUGUUGGCUUAGAAGCAGCCAUCAUUUAAAGAAAGCGUAAUAGCUCACUGGUCGAGUCGGCCUGCGCGGAAGAUGUAACGGGGCUAAACCAUGCACCGAAGCUGCGGCAGCGACGCUUAUGCGUUGUUGGGUAGGGGAGCGUUCUGUAAGCCUGCGAAGGUGUGCUGUGAGGCAUGCUGGAGGUAUCAGAAGUGCGAAUGCUGACAUAAGUAACGAUAAAGCGGGUGAAAAGCCCGCUCGCCGGAAGACCAAGGGUUCCUGUCCAACGUUAAUCGGGGCAGGGUGAGUCGACCCCUAAGGCGAGGCCGAAAGGCGUAGUCGAUGGGAAACAGGUUAAUAUUCCUGUACUUGGUGUUACUGCGAAGGGGGGACGGAGAAGGCUAUGUUGGCCGGGCGACGGUUGUCCCGGUUUAAGCGUGUAGGCUGGUUUUCCAGGCAAAUCCGGAAAAUCAAGGCUGAGGCGUGAUGACGAGGCACUACGGUGCUGAAGCAACAAAUGCCCUGCUUCCAGGAAAAGCCUCUAAGCAUCAGGUAACAUCAAAUCGUACCCCAAACCGACACAGGUGGUCAGGUAGAGAAUACCAAGGCGCUUGAGAGAACUCGGGUGAAGGAACUAGGCAAAAUGGUGCCGUAACUUCGGGAGAAGGCACGCUGAUAUGUAGGUGAAGUCCCUUGCGGAUGGAGCUGAAAUCAGUCGAAGAUACCAGCUGGCUGCAACUGUUUAUUAAAAACACAGCACUGUGCAAACACGAAAGUGGACGUAUACGGUGUGACGCCUGCCCGGUGCCGGAAGGUUAAUUGAUGGGGUCAGCGCAAGCGAAGCUCUUGAUCGAAGCCCCGGUAAACGGCGGCCGUAACUAUAACGGUCCUAAGGUAGCGAAAUUCCUUGUCGGGUAAGUUCCGACCUGCACGAAUGGCGUAAUGAUGGCCAGGCUGUCUCCACCCGAGACUCAGUGAAAUUGAACUCGCUGUGAAGAUGCAGUGUACCCGCGGCAAGACGGAAAGACCCCGUGAACCUUUACUAUAGCUUGACACUGAACAUUGAGCCUUGAUGUGUAGGAUAGGUGGGAGGCUUUGAAGUGUGGACGCCAGUCUGCAUGGAGCCGACCUUGAAAUACCACCCUUUAAUGUUUGAUGUUCUAACGUGGACCCGUAAUCCGGGUUGCGGACAGUGUCUGGUGGGUAGUUUGACUGGGGCGGUCUCCUCCUAAAGAGUAACGGAGGAGCACGAAGGUUGGCUAAUCCUGGUCGGACAUCAGGAGGUUAGUGCAAUGGCAUAAGCCAGCUUGACUGCGAGCGUGACGGCGCGAGCAGGUGCGAAAGCAGGUCAUAGUGAUCCGGUGGUUCUGAAUGGAAGGGCCAUCGCUCAACGGAUAAAAGGUACUCCGGGGAUAACAGGCUGAUACCGCCCAAGAGUUCAUAUCGACGGCGGUGUUUGGCACCUCGAUGUCGGCUCAUCACAUCCUGGGGCUGAAGUAGGUCCCAAGGGUAUGGCUGUUCGCCAUUUAAAGUGGUACGCGAGCUGGGUUUAGAACGUCGUGAGACAGUUCGGUCCCUA